This 349-nucleotide unclassified non-coding RNA is filed under the name Hevea brasiliensis (rubber tree). The record is from RNAcentral. Lineage: Eukaryota; Viridiplantae; Streptophyta; Magnoliopsida; Malpighiales; Euphorbiaceae.
GGAAUGGAAUACAAAGGUUUUCUUGCUUCAGUGGAUUCAUACAUGAAUCUACAGCUGGGUAACACUGAAGAAUAUAUUGACGGUCAAUUCACUGGAAAUCUUGGAGAGAUUCUGAUCAGGUGCAACAAUGUUCUCUAUCUUCGAGGUGUCCCGGAGGAUGAAGACAUAGAAGAUGCAGACCACGACUGAGAAGUGGAUUUCAGUUAUUGAAUUGGUAGGCCUCUUGUAGUUCCUGUUCAAGCCAAUGAUGGUAGGCAUUUGUUGUUUAAAUCUGAUGUUGUCCAUGACAUGUACCUUGUCUAGUUAACAAACUGAUAUAACUUUAUUAUGGAUUUGAUGCAUUCGAAAU